CCGGCCCCAGCACAGCCCCUGCCCCCCGGCAGGGACCGUGCCACUGCGGGGGACCUGCGGGACAGUGUGUCACACCCCUCACACACACAGCCAAGGAUUCCCGGGUGCUGGGUGCUGUCUCCAGCUCCUUUUGGCCCUCUGCUGCUUUGUCAGUCUGUUCUUCCUGGCAGGCUGGAAGCAGGGUUUAACUGUUGAAGCUCAUAGCGAUGCCACGCAGUUUUUCUCAAUUCCAGGUGAGUCAUCAUCUCGCCAGGUCUAUUUCUGACUCCCAGCAGGAAAAGCAGAAUUCAGCCCUUCAUUCCUCAAUGCCACCAGCUCAGGAACCAGCACAUUUUUCUAGGCAAAACCGAAUGGCCGUGAAGAAAAUGACAGCUCAUCUGCCCCAGCUGGAAUUUUUAGACAAUGCAAAGCACAAGGGAGCUGGGCACUGAAUGUUUGAGAUGUUACCCCAGAACAAAUCAUGACCAUUUCCAGACAGAUCAACAGAAACACAGAGCCAGCCAAUAAUGGGGAAGGAUAUUGCACCUUCCACAUUUUCCCAUCAAAUGGAGAACAGCAGCGUUUGGAAAUGGCACUUCCCACAGUGUCAGUUUGAUUUGAACAAGUUUUGUCUCUAUUUACCAUUCCACUGGAUUCCAGGGACAGGGAACAAGGACAGGAAACAAACAGAGCAGCACGCAGACAACUGCCCAAGAGCU
Molecule: long non-coding RNA, 698 nt
Organism: Passer domesticus (house sparrow)
Lineage: Eukaryota; Metazoa; Chordata; Aves; Passeriformes; Passeridae
Exons: 3
Source: RefSeq, a predicted model, not a curated record